This is a non-coding RNA of Pelobates cultripes (western spadefoot toad), 278 nucleotides long. The record is from the annotation of a GenBank genome assembly. Lineage: Eukaryota; Metazoa; Chordata; Amphibia; Anura; Pelobatidae.
AUGUGUGGUAACAGGGAUAGGUAGAAUGUGGCACUUCAGCCCCAUUUGUUUGCCACUCCUGCUGCGUUACUUAACCAUCCAAAUGGGAGUUUCCAUCUUCUGCUUAAACAGAGGUUGACCUAUAGGUUGUACAUACUAGCACUGAGUAUUUCAGCUAGCGGUAGCACAGAGAGUUGCUAGUUUGUAGCUGUGGUGGGAUUAUACUUCCUGGUUGAUUGUUGGAAGUACAAAGGUUUGGAGGAUUGAACUCACAGGACUGAGUAGUCAUUUAACACAGG